Molecule: ribosomal RNA, 88 nt
Filed under: Butyricicoccus pullicaecorum
Lineage: Bacteria; Bacillati; Bacillota; Clostridia; Eubacteriales; Butyricicoccaceae
Source: RNAcentral
UGUUCCCAUUCCGAACACAGUAGUUAAGCUCAUUAACGGUGAAAAUACUUGGCUGGAGACGGCCCGGGAAAAUAACACGGCGCGCACA